This 429-nucleotide ribosomal RNA is filed under the name uncultured bacterium. RNAcentral's name for it is "bacterial SSU rRNA". It matches the Rfam family "Bacterial small subunit ribosomal RNA", at positions 355 to 775 of the family's 1533-position model. The record is from RNAcentral.
UGGGGAAUAUUGCGCAAUGGGGGGAACCCUGACGCAGCGACGCCGUGUGAGGGAAGAAGGCCUUCGGGUCGUAAACCUCUGUCGGGAGGGAAGAACCGCCGGUUUCCGAACAGGGAGCCGGCCUGACGGUACCUCCGAAGGAAGCGCCGGCUAACUCCGUGCCAGCAGCCGCGGUAAUACGGAGGGCGCGAGCGUUAAUCGGAAUCACUGGGCGUAAAGCGCGCGUAGGCGGCCAGAUAAGUCGGGCGUGAAAGCCCUCGGCUCAACCGAGGAAUUGCGUUCGAUACUGUGUGGCUUGAGUCCUGGAGAGGGUGGCGGAAUUCCGGGUGUAGGAGUGAAACCCGUAGAUAUCCGGAGGAACACCGGUGGCGAAGGCGGCCACCUGGACAGGUACUGACGCUGAGGUGCGAAAGCGUGGGGAGCAAACAG